UGAGGUGGCGGAGAGGCUUAACGCAUCGGUCUUGAAAACCGAAGGUCCGCACGGAUCCAAGGGUUCGAAUCCCUCCUUCAG
Molecule: transfer RNA, 81 nt
Filed under: uncultured Acetatifactor sp.
Lineage: Bacteria; Bacillati; Bacillota; Clostridia; Lachnospirales; Lachnospiraceae
Rfam family: tRNA
About the family: Transfer RNA (tRNA) molecules are approximately 80 nucleotides in length. Their secondary structure includes four short double-helical elements and three loops (D, anti-codon, and T loops).
Source: RNAcentral